RNAcentral lists this ribosomal RNA (460 nucleotides) under uncultured bacterium. RNAcentral describes it as "partial 16S ribosomal RNA". It matches the Rfam family "Bacterial small subunit ribosomal RNA", at positions 338 to 795 of the family's 1533-position model. The record is from RNAcentral.
CCUACGGGAGGCAGCAGUGAGGAAUAUUGGUCAAUGGACGAGAGUCUGAACCAGCCAAGUAGCGUGAAGGAUGACUGCCCUAUGGGUUGUAAACUUCUUUUAUAUGGGAAUAAAAUGUUCCACGUGUGGGAUUUUGUAUGUACUAUAUGAAUAAGGAUCGGCUAACUCCGUGCCAGCAGCCGCGGUAAUACGGAGGAUCCGAGCGUUAUCCGGAUUUAUUGGGUUUAAAGGGAGCGUAGGUGGAUUGUUAAGUCAGUUGUGAAAGUUUGCGGCUCAACCGUAAAAUUGCAGUUGAAACUGGCAGUCUUGAGUACAGUAGAGGUGGGCGGAAUUCGUGGUGUAGCGGUGAAAUGCUUAGAUAUCACGAAGAACUCCGAGUGCGAAGGCAGUUCACUGGACUGCAACUGACACUGAGGCUCGAAAGUGUGGGUAUCAAACAGGAUUAGAUACCCCUGUAGUC